This 253-nucleotide ribosomal RNA is filed under the name uncultured bacterium. RNAcentral describes it as "partial 16S ribosomal RNA". It matches the Rfam family "Bacterial small subunit ribosomal RNA", at positions 524 to 776 of the family's 1533-position model. The record is from RNAcentral.
UACGUAGGGGGCAAGCGUUGUCCGGAUUUAUUGGGCGUAAAGAGCGUGUAGGCGGCCAGACAGGUCCGUUGUGAAAACUCGAGGCUCAACCUCGAGAUGUCGAUGGAAACCGUCUGGCUAGAGUCCGGAAGAGGAGUGUGGAAUUCCUGGUGUAGCGGUGAAAUGCGCAGAUAUCAGGAAGAACACCUAUGGCGAAGGCAGCUCUCUGGUACGAGACUGACGCUGAGACGCGAAAGCAUGGGGAGCGAACAGG